RNAcentral lists this ribosomal RNA (427 nucleotides) under uncultured bacterium. RNAcentral's name for it is "bacterial SSU rRNA". It matches the Rfam family "Bacterial small subunit ribosomal RNA", at positions 355 to 774 of the family's 1533-position model. The record is from RNAcentral.
UGGGGAAUUUUGGACAAUGGGCGCAAGCCUGAUCCAGCCAUGCCGCGUGCAGGAUGAAGGCCUUCGGGUUGUAAACUGCUUUUGUACGGAACGAAAAGGUGCCUUCUAAUAAAGGGCGCUCAUGACGGUACCGUAAGAAUAAGCACCGGCUAACUACGUGCCAGCAGCCGCGGUAAUACGUAGGGUGCGAGCGUUAAUCGGAAUUACUGGGCGUAAAGCGUGCGCAGGCGGUUUUGUAAGACAGAGGUGAAAUCCCCGGGCUCAACCUGGGAACUGCCUUUGAUACUUUUAUUCUUGAGUUCGGGAGAGAGGGACGGAAUUCCAGGUGUAGUGGUGAAAUACGUAGAUAUCUGGAAGAACACCAGUUGCGAAGGCGGUCUCUUGGUCCGACACUGACGCUGAGGCGCGAAAGCGUGGGGAGCAAACA